CGGCGGACGGGUGAGUAACACGUGGGUAAUCUGCCUUAUACAGGGGGAUAACAGUUAGAAAUGACUGCUAAUACCGCAUAAGCGCACGGAAACGCAUGUUUCAGUGUGAAAAACUCCGGUAGUAUAAGAUGAGCCCGCGUCUGAUUAGCUGGUUGGUGGGGUAACGGCCUACCAAGGCGACGAUCAGUAGCCGGCCUGAGAGGGUGAACGGCCACAUUGGGACUGAGACACGGCCCAAACUCCUACGGAAGGCAGCAG
RNAcentral lists this ribosomal RNA (258 nucleotides) under uncultured bacterium. RNAcentral describes it as "partial 16S ribosomal RNA". It matches the Rfam family "Bacterial small subunit ribosomal RNA", at positions 96 to 354 of the family's 1533-position model. The record is from RNAcentral.